RNAcentral lists this unclassified non-coding RNA (336 nucleotides) under soil metagenome. RNAcentral describes it as "partial contains 5.8S ribosomal RNA, internal transcribed spacer 2, and large subunit ribosomal RNA". The stretch from base 1 to 120 matches the Rfam family "5.8S ribosomal RNA", at positions 35 to 154 of the family's 154-position model. The record is from RNAcentral.
GAUGAAGAACGCAGCGAAAUGCGAUACGUAAUGUGAAUUGCAGAAUUCAGUGAAUCAUCGAAUCUUUGAACGCACAUUGCGCCCGCCAGCACUCUGGCGGGCAUGCCUGUUCGAGCGUCAUUUCAACCAUCAAGCCCCAGGCUUGCGUUGGAGCCCUGCGGCUGCCGCAGCCUCCUAAAAGCAGUGGCGGGCUCGCUGUCACACCGGGCGUAGUAGAUUUUAUCUCGCUCAGGGCGUGCUGCGGGUUCCGGCCGUUAAAAAGCCUUUUUUACCCAAGGUUGACCUCGGAUCAGGUAGGAAGACCCGCUGAACUUAAGCAUAUCAAUAAGCGGAGGA